UUGACGGGGGAGCACCACGACGGGUGGAGCUUGCGGUUUAAUUGGAUUCAACGCCGGAAAUCUUACCGGGACCGACAGCAAUAUGAAGGCCAGGCUGAAGACCUUGCCGGAUUAGCUGAGAGGUGGUGCAUGGCCGUCGUCAGUUCGUACUGUGAAGCAUCCUGUUAAGUCAGGCAACGAGCGAGACCCACGCCCACAGUUGCCAGCGUACUCUCUGGAGUGACGGGUACACUGUGGGACCGCCGCUGCUAAAGCGGAGGAAGGAAUGGGCAACGGUAGGUCAGUAUGCCCCGAAUAUCCCGGGCUACACGCGAGCUACAAUGGUUGGUACAAUGGGUAUCUACCCCGAAAGGGGACGGGAAUCUCCUAAAACCAAUCUUAGUUCGGAUUGAGGACUGCAACUCGCCCUCAUGAAGCUGGAAUCCGUAGUAAUCGCGUUUCAACAGAACGCGGUGAAUACGUCCCUGCUCCUU
RNAcentral lists this ribosomal RNA (473 nucleotides) under uncultured Methanosaeta sp. RNAcentral describes it as "bacterial SSU rRNA". It matches the Rfam family "Archaeal small subunit ribosomal RNA", at positions 865 to 1338 of the family's 1478-position model. Lineage: Archaea; Methanobacteriati; Methanobacteriota; Methanomicrobia; Methanotrichales; Methanotrichaceae. The record is from RNAcentral.